This is a ribosomal RNA of 437 nucleotides. It matches the Rfam family "Bacterial small subunit ribosomal RNA", at positions 341 to 792 of the family's 1533-position model.
ACGGGAGGCAGCAGUGGGGAAUAUUGGGCAAUGGGCGAAAGCCUGACCCAGCAACGCCGCGUGAAGGAAGAAGGCCUUCGGGUUGUAAACUUCUUUUACCAGGGACGAAGGAUGUGACGGUACCUGGAGAAAAAGCAACGGCUAACUACGUGCCAGCAGCCGCGGUAAUACGUAGGUGGCAAGCGUUAUCCGGAUUUACUGGGUGUAAAGGGCGCGUAGGCGGGAAGGCAAGUCAGGUGUGAAAUCUAUGGGCUUAACCCAUAAACUGCACUUGAAACUGUCUUUCUUGAGUGCUGGAGAGGUAGACGGAAUUCCUUGUGUAGCGGUGAAAUGCGUAGAUAUAAGGAAGAACACCAGUGGCGAAGGCGGUCUACUGGACAGUAACUGACGCUGAGGCGCGAAAGCGUGGGGAGCAAACAGGAUUAGAUACCCUGGUA